GGAAAGGAAUGUGUCAUUUGCCUGUCAGAACCACGGGACACAACUGUUCUUCCUUGCCGCCACAUGUGUAUGUGCAGCGAAUGUGCAAAGGUUUUAAGGUACCAAACAAAUCGAUGCCCAAUUUGCAGACAACCCGUAGAGAGGCUUUUAGAGAUAAAGGUCAACAGUGGGCCUGAUGAAUGAAGAGAGGAAUUCCUCCCACCGCCUUGCUGUAUAGUAGUUUGCUUGCUUUUUCUUGGGUUUCAAUGUUUUCUGUUUUCCCCUUCAAUGUUCUUGUUUUCUAAUAAUCAAACCGGAAAUUAUAAUCAAUUUGCAGUAUGGCAGGG
RNAcentral lists this unclassified non-coding RNA (326 nucleotides) under Hevea brasiliensis (rubber tree). Lineage: Eukaryota; Viridiplantae; Streptophyta; Magnoliopsida; Malpighiales; Euphorbiaceae. The record is from RNAcentral.